Molecule: ribosomal RNA, 460 nt
Filed under: uncultured bacterium
Lineage: Bacteria
Description: partial 16S ribosomal RNA
Rfam family: Bacterial small subunit ribosomal RNA
Source: RNAcentral
CCUACGGGAGGCUGCAGUGAGGAAUAUUGGUCAAUGGACGGAAGUCUGAACCAGCCAUGCCGCGUGCAGGAAGACGGUUCUAUGAGUCGUAAACUGCUUUUGUACAAGGGUAAACCUGAAUACGUGUAUUCAGCUGAAAGUACUGUAAGAAUAAGGAUCGGCUAACUCCGUGCCAGCAGCCGCGGUAAUACGGAGGAUCCAAGCGUUAUCCGGAUUUAUUGGGUUUAAAGGGUGCGUAGGCGGAUUGGUAAGUUAGAGGUGAAAUGUCCGAGCUUAACUCGGGAACUGCCUCUAAUACUGUUGAUCUAGAGAGUGGAUGCGGUAGGCGGAAUGUAUGGUGUAGCGGUGAAAUGCUUAGAGAUCGUACAGAACACCGAUUGCGAAGGCAGCUUACCAAUCUAUCUCUGACGUUGAGGCACGAAAGCGUGGGGAGCGAACAGGAUUAGAUACCCUAGUAGUC